UAAAUGGUAAUCUUGUUAACAAAUCUCAUUUUAUGCUUGACUUCACAUAUAAAACCACCUGCACAUGCAGUCUUCCUCCAAGCAAUUUGUGAUGCAGCCUUUGCUAAAGAAUAGCACGAUUUCAACCUUGUAAAGGACUAAUACACCACAUGAGAAGAGGUUGCCUUAUAUCAAGAACCUUUGAAGAGUAUUAACAACAUGGAGCAAAUGACAAACGCCAAUGGCGAAGAACUUCAAAAUGCCUUUCUAUAAUGACAUAGUUCAUUCUUGCCCUUAUCUAAACCCCGUGGUGUUUGGGGACUUCCUCCGAAUUUCAUCAAAUGCAGCUUUAAUCUGCACAAGGAAGAUAGCACCAAGUAAUUAUCAAUAAAUGAAGAUGUCCAAGAUCGUAGCAUAAUAAAUUACCUCAUGAGAGAUUAAGGUACAAAUGCAUAAACAUCGACAUCAAUCAGAGUUGGACCACAAUGAAAGGAGACUUCAUUAGUUGGCCGAUGAAAACGAAACACACAGGCUUAAAAGAAGUAAGCAAUUAGCAACACUUUCUCUGUUUGUGUUUAGGAACAGAAUUGAAAUUAAUAAAAUUAUGCUGAAAAGGUGAAGUGCCUAAAUUACAGAACAGAAAGAUGCAUUUCCUACUUGGUUAUUUUGCAAGAUCCAAUUAGCAAAAUUAGCAAUACUAGAUCGUUUGCAAAGAGGUCAAUUUCAACUUUACAAAUCCAAUGCCACAUACAUGAGAACUGAGCUUGUCAAACCUAUAUAAUAACAUUAAGAGGAUAUCAUCACACAAAUAAACUGAUAGAAAUGGAGGAGCCUAGCAAUGCAUACCUCCCUCUGCAUAGCAUCAUCAAUUCCAUAGUGAUAUCAUUAGACUGCAACUGCAUCGAACAACUCUGCAUCAGGGUAACAUACAAAAAAUCAUCAACUUAGUUUUUGAUUAAAGGAGAGCUAGAACCUAAUGAGCAUACAUAAAGCAUAUUUAAUUGAAAAAAAAAUACAUUUACAAUCAUUUAGGGAUGUGACAUUGAGAUCAGAUCAAGUGUUUUGGAUCUUCACGAGUAUCAAAACUUCCUUAGGACACUCCAGUCAGCCCCAAAGCCUCUUCAAGUUUGGCACGCAAGAUGAUCCUUAGCAGUUGCUGAUGCUUCCUCUGCAAAACCCCUUUUGUUUAUUUUGAUCAGUCUCAAGUAUGGAAUUUGAAGUUCCUCAGCCAAGUGAGCCACGCCCAAAUCAGUCAUGUAAUAAAGCAAUUCCAUGGCAACAAUAGGAUCAAACGGUAUGCAAACUAAUUAGCAAAUUCUUGAGCCUUGAGCUCCUCAUCCUAGCUUGUUUCAUGACGGGCAAAACAUUGUUCAUUAAUGCAAAAGUCAUCAAUACAAUUAAUCGAACUGAACUCCCAAAGUAAGCCUUGAUCAUUACACAGACCAACCAAACUUGUCAUGGAAGCAGCACCAAUUUACCUUGCUUGAUAAUAUUCAAAACAAUAGUUUGACUACUAGUAAUGUUAAGGUGGUGUACAUUGAUAUAUGACAGACUAGCCAGAACUACUUUAACAUUUUUUUUUUUAAUCACAAACCAAAAACACUUGAUAUGUUUUAUUUUAGCUCACUUCAUCAUACUUAAUGGGAAUUGAUGCUAUUCUUAGAAGGUUCAAGAGGGACAUCAAGGGAACAAUAAGAAAUUUGACAGGGUUUCUGUUCAUCGUGGAAAACCAAUAUGUUUGUCUCAAACAAGACAUCUGCCAUUAGUCAAAUUUCACACAAAAGAACUCACAAAGUAACUCAAAAUGGCCAAGGAUCUUUUCAAGAAAUAUUAAUUCUGGACAGGGAAAUUCUGGGUGUAGUUUAUAAUAUUGAGUAGCAGAAGUUCAUCAGCCUCGAUUUGAAAAUUUCAAAUCCUAGGUUUACUUAUGGAAGAACUGUUAAAUCACUGGGGAAUUCUUGUUUACCUUUGCUUGAUAUUUUCAUCCUUGCCUNNNNNNNNNNNNNNNNNNNNNNNNNNNNNNNNNNNNNNNNNNNNNNNNNNNNNNNNNNNNNNNNNNNNNNNNNNNNNNNNNNNNNNNNNNNNNNNNNNNNNNNNNNNNNNNNNNNNNNNNNNNNNNNNNNNNNNNNNNNNNNNNNNNNNNNNNNNNNNNNNNNNNNNNNNNNNNNNNNNNNNNNNNNNNNNNNNNNNNNNNNNNNNNNNNNNNNNNNNNNNNNNNNNNNCUUACUAUGCCUUCUAUUGACAUUUGGGUCUAUAUUUUGAUCUUGGCUUAAGCAUCAUGUAUGACCAACUCCCCCAUUCCUUCAAUUAUGACAGAAUCUUGUCAUGGAAAACCUUCUUGUCAAAAGAAGAUGGGGAUGAAAAGUAGGUCAUGAAUCUCAGAAGAAAAAUGAUUGUUAACUGCUUAUUUACCUCUAUUGGGGAAACAUCACUCCAAAAGUCAAAAGACAGCUCUCGCUCAUAAUUUCUAAAGACGCGCGUUUCGGUAUUGCUUCCAAUGAGUCACAACCAGAAAUAUCCAAAUCAAUUAAAUCCAACUUUUCAAGUCCCCAAAGCUGAGGAGGUUUCUUGCUGUCUCAAACUCUUAGAGAUCCUAACUUCUCACAUCCUAUCAAAUCUAGAAAGUCUCUAUUGAUUUGCAUCCUGUAAAAUCCAAGUCUUCUAAGAACUUCGCACCAUCAAGACCUUGAAUUUCGACUAUAUUGUCGCACCCAACAGCCACUAAUUUCUUCAGACACCGUGAUUCUGGAUAGAGAAGCCUUUUAAUGGAAUUGCAAUCAUAUAUAAUUAUGACCUCCAAGAAUGCCAAAUUAUCAUGCCCUGAAUUUCAACUAGGCUAUCGCAAUGCUCAGCGUGCAAUCAUUUCAGAUGAAUCAAUCGUGAAAGGUUCAAUCUUUCAAUGGAACUACACUUUUCUAUGGAAAAUCUCGACAGAAGGCAAGUCACCAAUUUCACUUUUCAGACAACAACACGACGAGAUAUGUAGAGUCUGCAGAUUUUUCAGCCUUCCAAUCGCAUUGGGAAGCUUUUCAAUCGCAGAAAAACUCAAAUGAAGAUGUUGCAAAUUUUGUAAAUCCCCAAUUGAGCUAGGGAUUUCUCUCAGAGACUCACAACCAUAAGCGCUCGAUUUCUUCAACUUCCUCAGAGAACCAAUAGACGUGUUCAUGGUCAUCAAGUGAGAAAAAAAAAUCCUUCCCAUCCGAGAAAGGGGAGAGGCCGAGAUAGAGAGAGAUUGAGGACACGGAUGGACACGUGGUCGCCGAGCAACCGAUCCCAUGGAGUUGGCCAGAGUCUAGAGAUCAUGACGAUUCAAACUCUUAACCAAAACCAGAUGUACGUAGCCAAAUCCCGGCCUCGCAUGCUCGAACACACUUCACCCCCGCACAGACUAGACAACGCGAAGGAGUUGGCGAUAAAAGCAUCGUGGUGGAAUGAUCCGGAGAAGAAGAGGAAGAGGAGGGUGGCCAGAUACAAGCUUUAUUCGGUCGAGGGCAAGUUCAAGGCUUCUUUCAAACAAGGGUUCCGAUGGUUGAAGCGCAAAUGCUCGACCUUCGCACGUCGAUUCUAAUUAGCAGAAAUUACGGAAUACCGUGUCAUCGUCAUCAAGAGAGAAAAACGGUGAGAAAGAGGAAACAGAGAGAUUUGCUGUGCUCUUUGGGUGUUCAUCUUUAUAUGUAUCUAAUGGUGAUCAAAUAUUCAGAAGGGUGCUGCUAAUGUUCAAUCUUUCAGAUAUAAUGUUCAUCUGACUCAUUGUUUCAUUCAUUGCUCUCCAGCAUUCAAAACAUAGGCAAAUGAGACGACUCGGACGUGAUAGUAAUAUAUAUUUGUAUUUGCCGAUUUUUCUUGUUCUUUUUUGAAUUUUCUUACCUUCUAAUACAUUUGUAACAGGAUUCUGCAUCCAUGCCCAUGCAAAGUAGAAUUGUCUGAUUUGUUCAAUUCUCUUAUUUUCUGUAAGCUCUUUUCCUAAUAAAUGUGAUGCUGAUUGCAAAUGAGAUGACUCGUACAUGUAGGAUUGACAUUACCAUCUAUUUUGUGGUCGAUUUUGUUGGGUACAAUUUUGUUUUGGCCAAAUGUUGUUUACGCCUUGUUUCUGGGGUUCUUUAACCCCCUAAUUUCCUCUAUUUGUCUAGUUUGAUUCCUCUUUGUUGUACGAUUCAUCAUAUGGCAACAUAUAUUGCUGAAGUAGAUAUUCUAAAAUGACAUGCGCCGGUGCUAAACAAAACAAAAGGCUUUCGAUGGUUCCAUUUUGAUUUGAGGAUAAUUUUCAUAUUUCGAAUGCCAUCCUAUUGAGACCAGAGUUACGAAAAUGUGGAAAAUUGAAAAGCCCAAAGGGAACCUUCUUUAAUUCUAUCAAAACUUGCGUAGUUAUUGUUGAAAUGGUCGUAAUUUCAAGGAUCUUGAUGUAUAAUGUGAUAGAACUUUCAAAAAAAUGGUCAAAGCAAAUCUCUUGCAUGAAAUCGAAGGAGGAGAAGAUGAAAACCCAUAGCAGAACCGAACUGGUUCACCAGGUUUAACACCUUCAUCCAGUUAUCCAGUCGAUUCACAGUUUUCAAAUUUUAAAUCAAUUCAGCCGAUAUGGUUGUGACUAAAAUUCUAAAAGUAGUCAAAACACGUAGCCAUUGCCCUUUGGAAUAAUGGCUUAGACACUGGUUAAGCAAUUUAGUAAAUAAACUGUAGACUCAAUACAUCGACUUUACUUGUGAUUUUUCUUGUGAAAUGUUCAAUCAGUAUUCCGAAAAUUUAAUUAUUUCACAUUAAGUAUGUUUAACAAGUAUUUCAACACGCCCCACACUAUAUUUGUGUUAGUAAUUAUAGAUUUGAACUUGGCUUAAAAAGCUACUUGGCCUUACAAGCUACUUGGCCUUGUAUUGAGCUCUGGAAAAAUUGAGUAUAAGUUCAAGUAGACAAGCAGGGAAUCAGACAGAGUACCUUGCCAGUAGCUUUCAGCCUUUCAAUUACUAAAAUUCCACCAUUGUCAUCUAGUACACGGGUUCAGGAAUAUCAAAGAGUGACCUCAAAGAAAUUGCUUCGAUUGAGGCUUCAAUGCGUGACUGGUUAACACAAUUUGGUGUAGUAGAGUCUGAUUAUUAACCAAUAAGAUGACCCUUUUAAAGUUUUUUGUUCAAACCAAAUGAGUAAAUUUUGGGAAUGGCCCUUUUCACCUUUCCAAAAAUUUCCCACAUUUUUCGAUAGUCUUCAAUCGUAGCCUACGCCAGAGAAAAAUAGGUUUCAGAUAUGAAAAUGUACAUGGAUGCGGCUCUUCUGCUUUUAGAUUUUUUUUUUUUGGUAAGUUCUUCUGCUUCUAGAUUCAUGCUUAAAUAAAUCAAGUUUGAGAUUAUACUAUCAAAACGAUUGCAAAAUGCCUACAUAUGAUUUUUCAAUGUAACCAGACUAGGAAGAUGAUUUUACAUUGACGAGCGCUUUAUUUCAUGUUCAAAAUUCUUUCAAAUGAGAAAACUAUUGUCUUCUAGGAAACAUUAUCAUUGAAACUCUUGCCUGCAAUUGACAAAUUAUUUGCUAAUUCCAUGGCAUUUGCUUUUUCCACGACAAGAAUCUCUCCGCCACAAAAUUAUAGCUUGAAGUGGACAUCUAACUGGUAAUCUUGUUAGCAAAUCUCACUUUAUGCUUAACCUGCAAAUGCAUUCUUCCAGCAAGCAAUUUGUGAUUCGGCCUUUGCUAAAGAAUAUCACGAUGUCAAAGCUCCCCAAGGCCUAAUGCACCAUAUGAGAAGAGGUCGCCUCACAUCCAGAAUCCUUUGAAGAGUACUAACAACACAAACGCCAAAAGGAAAGAACUUCGGGAUGACUUUUCAGAAUGACAAAGCUCAUUCCUACUCGCAUCUCCAUCCCAUGGUGUUUGGGGACUUUCUCUGAGUUAAAUGAAUUGCAGCUUGAAUCUACACAAGCCAAAUAGCACUGACUAUAAUCAUUGGUAAUGAAAAAAACCAAGAUACGUAGCAUCACAAUUUACCUCAUCAAAGAUAAGGUACAAAUGCAUAAACAUCAUUUCACCGGUUGGACCACAAUGAACAGACGCUUCAUUAGGUGGCUGAUGAAAUAGAAAAGAACAGACUUGGAGAAGUAAGCAAUUAGCAAUACUUUCCAUGUUUGUGUUUAGGAACAGAAUUGAUGCUAACAGAAUGAUGUUGAAAAGGUGUGAGUGCCUAAACUACAGAACAGAGAGAUGUAUUUGUUACUUUGGUAUUUCACAAUAUCCUAUUAGCAAAAUCAGCAAUAGCGGAUAGUUUGCAAGGAGGUCAAUUUCAACUUUACAAAUCCAAUGCCACAUCCACAUGAGAGGUGAGCCUAUCAAAUCAGAAACCUACAUGAGAAUAUUUACGAGAUAUUAUCACACUAAUAAACUUAUAGAAAUGAAGGAGAUUGUCAUCAUGCAUACUUGCGUACUAAUUUCUGGUGAAAUUACAUAGCUCAUAUAGUCUAAGCACACAAGUAAGUCUUUCAUGGUACAACUAAGUAAGUCUUUCAUGGUACAACUAGCACUGCAUACCUCUCCCUUCAGAGCCUCAGCGAGUUGAGGAGUGAUAUAUUUAGAAUGCAACUUUAUCAAACAACUCUGCGACAUGGUAACAUACAAAAAGUCAGCAGCUACGUGUUUGAUUAACAGAGAGAUAGAACCUAAUAAGCAUACAGAAAGCAUAGUUAAUUGAAAAAAAUACAUUUACAAUCGUUCAGGUACGUACUGUUGAGACAUGAUCAAGUGUUCGAAUAUUCACAAGCAUCAAAACUUCCUCAGGACACUCCAGUUGGCCCCAGAGUGUCUUCAAGGUUGGCACAGAAAAUGGUCCUCAGCUGUUGUUAUGGAAUUUGAAGUUCCUCAGCCAAGUUAGAACUAGUAAUCAUGUUAACAAAUCUCAUUUUAUGCUUCAAUUCACAUAUAGAACCACCAGCACAUGCAGUCUUCCUGAAAGUGAUUUGUCAUUCAGCCUUUGCCAAAGGAGAGGACAAUGCCAAAGGUUGCACAGGACUAAAACACCACAUGAGAAGAGGUUGCUUUAUAUCAAGAAUCCUUUGAAGAGUAUUAACAACACAAAGCACAUGAUAAACGCCAUUAGCAAGGAAUUUCAGGAUGCAUUUCCAUAAUGACAUAGCUCAUUCCUGCAAUGUUUUGGGACUUUCU
RNAcentral lists this long non-coding RNA (7116 nucleotides) under Eucalyptus grandis. RNAcentral describes it as "long non-coding RNA (EGRA_LNC000888)". Lineage: Eukaryota; Viridiplantae; Streptophyta; Magnoliopsida; Myrtales; Myrtaceae. The record is from RNAcentral.